CAAUAGCGUAUACUAAUGUUGUUGCAGUUAAAAAGCUCGUAGUUGAACUUCCGGUAGGAGUGUCCCGGCCUUUUUGUUUUUACAAAUUGUAUGCUGUGUGACAUCUCUGGCCAUCCUUCUUCUUUGUUUAAAGAAGAUCUUUCACUGUAAAAAAAUUAGGGUGUUCAAAGCAAAAGUUUCUUUGGAAUAUAUUAGUAUGGGAUGAUAAGAUAGGCUCUAGAUGCUAUUUUGUUGGUUUGCACAUUUAGAGAAUGAUUAACAGGGACAGUUGGGGGUAUUCGUAUUUACAUGUCAGAGGUGAAAUUCUUGGAUUUUGGAAAGACGAACUACUGCGAAAGCAUUUACCAAGGAUGUUUUCAUUAA
RNAcentral lists this ribosomal RNA (363 nucleotides) under uncultured eukaryote. Its description in RNAcentral is "partial 18S ribosomal RNA". It matches the Rfam family "Eukaryotic small subunit ribosomal RNA", at positions 592 to 976 of the family's 1831-position model. The record is from RNAcentral.